ACGGGGUGCAGCAGGCGCGAAAACUUUGCAAUGUGCGCGAGCACGACAAGGUUAAUCCGAGUGAUUCCUGCUAAAGGAAUCUUUUGCUAGUCCUAAAAACACUAGCGAAUAAGGGGUGGGCAAGUUCUGGUGUCAGCCGCCGCGGUAAAACCAGCACCUCAAGUGGUCAGGAGGAUUAUUGGGCCUAAAGCAUCCGUAGCCUGCUUUGUAAGUUUCCGGUUAAAUCCAUUAGCUUAACUGAUGGGCCGCCGGAAAAACUGCAAAGCUAGGGAGUGGGAGAGGUAGACGGUACUCGGUAGGAAGGGGUAAAAUCCUUUGAUCUAUUGAUGACCACCAGUGGCGAAGGCGGUCUACCAGAACACGUUCGACGGUGAGGGAUGAAAGCUGGGGGAGCAAACCGGAUUAGAUACCCGGGUAGUCCCAGCUGUAAACGAUGCAGACUCGGUGAUGCCCUGGCUUGUGGCCAGCGCAGUGCCGCAGGGAAGCCGUUAAGUUUGCCGCCUGGAAGUACGUACGCAAGU
RNAcentral lists this ribosomal RNA (521 nucleotides) under uncultured archaeon. RNAcentral's name for it is "bacterial SSU rRNA". It matches the Rfam family "Archaeal small subunit ribosomal RNA", at positions 325 to 848 of the family's 1478-position model. The record is from RNAcentral.